This 433-nucleotide ribosomal RNA is filed under the name uncultured bacterium. RNAcentral describes it as "partial 16S ribosomal RNA". It matches the Rfam family "Bacterial small subunit ribosomal RNA", at positions 29 to 507 of the family's 1533-position model. The record is from RNAcentral.
AACGAACGCUGGCGGCAUGCCUAACACAUGCAAGUCGAACGAGACCUUCGGGUCUAGUGGCGCACGGGUGCGUAACGCGUGGGAACCUGCCCUUAGGUUCGGAAUAACUCCCCGUAAGGGGUGCUAAUACCGGAUAAUGUCUUCGGACCAAAGAUUUAUCGCCUUUGGAUGGGCCCGCGUUGGAUUAGCUAGUUGGUAGGGUAAAAGCCUACCAAGGCGACGAUCCAUAGCUGGUCUGAGAGGAUGAUCAGCCACACUGGGACUGAGACACGGCCCAGACUCCUACGGGAGGCAGCAGUGGGGAAUAUUGGACAAUGGGCGAAAGCCUGAUACAGCAAUGCCGCGUGAGUGAUGAAGGCCUUAGGGUUGUAAAGCUCUUUUACCCGGGAUGAUAAUGACAGUACCGGGAGAAUAAGCUCCGGCUAACUCCGUG